GACGAACGCUGGCGGCGUGCCUAAUACAUGCAAGUAGAACGCUGAAGGAGGAGCUUGCUUCUCUGGAUGAGUUGCGAACGGGUGAGUAACGCGUAGGUAACCUGCCUGGUAGCGGGGGAUAACGAUUGGAAACGAUAGCUAAUACCGCAUAAUAGUAGAUGUCGCAUGACAUUUGCUUAAAAGGUGCAAUUGCAUCACUACCAGAUGGACCUGCGUUGUAUUAGCUAGUUGGUGAGGUAACGGCUCACCAAGGCAACGAUACAUAGCCGACCUGGGAGGGGGGUCGGCCACACUGGGACGGAGACACGGCCCAGACUCCUACGGGAGGCAGCAGUAGGGAAUCUUCGGCAAUGGACGGAAGUCUGACCGAGCAACGCCGCGUGAGUGAAGAAGGUUGUCGGAUCGUAAAGCUCGGUUGUAAGAGAAGAACGAGUGUGAGAGUGGAAAGUUCACACUGUGACGGUAUCUUACCAGAAAGGGACGGCUAACUACGUG
This 495-nucleotide ribosomal RNA is filed under the name uncultured bacterium. RNAcentral's name for it is "partial 16S ribosomal RNA". It matches the Rfam family "Bacterial small subunit ribosomal RNA", at positions 28 to 507 of the family's 1533-position model. The record is from RNAcentral.